Heterocephalus glaber (naked mole-rat) is the source of this 1432-nucleotide non-coding RNA. The record is from RefSeq and is a predicted model, not a curated record. NCBI's taxonomy places the organism in Eukaryota, Metazoa, Chordata, Mammalia, Rodentia, Bathyergidae.
AUCAUGCCCUGUAUUCCAUCGCUGUCUUGUAUUUUAGUUAUGCAUUUUCCAACAACUCACUACUUAACAAAAUUAUUCAAAUUACUCUAUUAGCAAUACCUAUUUUAUUUGUCUAUAUUUUUACUAGUUUCUGUUCACCAUUUUUCUUUUAUUGCUCAAAUUCAUUUCUUUUUCCUUUGUGUAAAUAACUAGAAUCAUACAAAUGAGAUGAGCAGAGACCAUUUAUUGAGAGCUUGUUACAGCAAGUGUGCCAGUCCUAACUGUAUUUGGCAGAGACUUAAAGGCAAACAGAAAAGUGGGAAAGCUUUGUAAUGGGGGGAAAAAAAGGAUUAUUUUUUUUCUUUUGCUGAGCUCUGACGGAAAGUUUGAAGAAAUCUAAGCAGAAAUGGAAAAUCUUCCAUUAUUGGUUUGGAAAAUAUGUUUGCUUUUUUUUCUGUUAUGUACUGAGUUAGAAGAAAUUGAAAAGUAAAUGUAGGGAAGUUGAUAGAUAGUUGGACAUUUGACAAAUCUUGGUAAAUUGUCAUGGACCUUGUGCUUGGUCUUCCUGGACUGGUCAGUGCUGAGGCUGUGGGUCAGAGUCCUGUUGCCAAUAUGAUCUAAUCAUCGUAUAUUUGUAUGUUCUCCCACCAUACAAUGCUAGGGAAAUAUGUAAUUUUAUUCAUUUAAAUAUGUCUUUAUUUUUUCCAGUCUUGAAUAACACUUUUCCUGAGUCUAGAAUUUUAUUUCAUUGGAUUUCUUCUCACUUGCAGUUUGAAAUUAUCUCAGUCUUCUAAAGAUUAACAAGACACAUAAUUUCCAAGGAAAUCCUAAACUGGAAGGAUCAGGAUAACUGUUUGCCCAAUUAAUUUACAGAAUUUUAGACUUGAGCUAGGAAAUACAGCUCAUUUUCUUUAGUCCUCUGUUUUCAUUCAAGUUUGCAAUCUUAAUUCUUCCUGUAGACCAAUAUUUACGACUGUGCAUGAUCAUCUCUCAACAGCAAGAAUUUAUGGAGGAGAUCUUGUAUGCAGAGGAGAAAGAUAAAAAGAUGGAGGAAUCCCACACAUUAAAUGAGAUUAGAGAGAUAUGUAAAUUGUGGGAAACAGUCUAGAAUUUUGUAGAAAAGCACUAUAAAUAAAAGGUUGUAGUGGUGUGAGUGAUGAAUCUGUUAAAUGACAAUGCAAUGUCAUAUCCUCAAAUGGAGGCAAAAGCAAGUGUCACUUCAUAGGUUCCUUGUUAAAAUUGCACAAAAAGAAAAAGAUUGCAUUUAAUCAAUAGAUAGCAGCAAUCCCAUUUGUGUUAGUAAAAGUUGUCUUCCCAAUGAGGAAUGUAACUGUAUUGUAUACCUAAAACAUACCAAUAAACUAAAUGGAAAAAAAAAAAAGGAAGUUGUCCUGCAAAAUGACUCUGCUCUCUUUUUACCCUCACACCAGCCACAAAGGUUUUCAAAAGUAAG